RNAcentral lists this ribosomal RNA (440 nucleotides) under uncultured bacterium. RNAcentral's name for it is "partial 16S ribosomal RNA". It matches the Rfam family "Bacterial small subunit ribosomal RNA", at positions 338 to 795 of the family's 1533-position model. The record is from RNAcentral.
CCUACGGGAGGCAGCAGUGGGGAAUAUUGCACAAUGGGGGAAACCCUGAUGCAGCGACGCCGCGUGAGUGAAGAAGGAAUUCGUUAUGUAAAGCUCUAUCAGCAGGGAAGAAAAUGACGGUACCUGAGUAAGAAGCCCCGGCUAACUACGGGCCAGCAGCCGCGGGAAUACGUAGGGGGCACGCGUUAGCCGGAUUUACUGGGUGUAAAGGGAGCGUAGACGGCAGUGCAAGUCUGGAGUGAAAGGCGGGGGCUCAACCCCCGGACUGCUCUGGAAACUGUACGGCGGGAGUGCAGGAGAGGUAAGUAGAAUUCCUAGUGUAGCGGUGAAAUGCGUAGAUAUUAGGAGGAACACCAGUGGCGAAGGCGGCUUACUGGACUGUAACUGACGUUGAGGCUCGAAAGCGUGGGGAGCAAACAGGAUUAGAUACCCUAGUAGUC